UUUAUAAAUAAAUAUUUGCACGUUAGCAAGCAAAAAAAAAAAAUCCAUAUCCAUGGCUUUAAUAUUCUUACAAGUUCUUGCACUACUUGCAGUGUUAUACAUUCUUCAAGAAUUACACUACAAAUUCAUGAAAAAAAAAGAAAAACCCCCCUCCUGGCCCAAAAGGGCUUCCAAUUAUAGGAAAUCUUCAUAUGAUUGGCAAAAAUGUCCACCAAGAUCUUCAUCAAAUAGCCAAAAAAUAUGGUUCCAUAAUGAGCAUGAGAUUUGGUCUAGUUCCUGUAAUUGUUGCUUCAUCUCCUCAUGCUGCUGAACAAUUCUUGAAAAAUCAUGAUCUUGUUUUUGCGAGCCGACCAAAUAAUAGUGCUGCUAAAUUCAUCGCCUACGAUCAAAGAAAUUUGACAUUUGGAAAAUAUGGACCUUAUUGGCGAAAUAUGAGAAAAUUGUGCACGUUAGAAUUGCUUAGUACUCUCAAGAUCAAUUCAUUUCAAGAAAUGAGAAAACAAGAAGUUACAAAUUUUGUAACUUUUAUCAAUCGGGCAGCUUCUAGUUGUGUUGAAGUUGAUAUUAGUGCUAAACUUGCUACACUAAAUGCCAACAUGGCUUGUUUAAUGGUAUUUGGAAAGAAAUACAUGGAUGAUGAAUUUGAUGAAAGGGGUUUUAAAUAUGUGAUUCAAGAGACUUUGAUUUUAGCAGCAACACCAAACAUUGGUGAAUUUUUCCCCUUUCUUAAUGUGUUUGAUUUGCAGGGAGUUGUUCGUCGUAUGAAGGAAUUGGCAAAGAUUUUUGAUGAAUUUUUAGAGAGAGUGAUUGAUGAACAUGUUCAAGAUUACAAAGAGGAGAAGCAAACCAAAGAUAUUGUUGAUACUAUGAUGAAUAUCAUGCAAUCUGGCCAAUCUGAAUUUGAGUUUGAUCGUCGCCAUGUGAAAGCUAUUUUGCUGGACAUGCUAAUAGCUUCAAUGGAUACCUCAUCAACAUCAAUUGACUGGAUUUUCUCUGAACUUCUAAGGCACCCAAAAGUAAUUAAGAAAUUACAAAAGGAGUUGGAACAAGUAGUUGGCAUGAAUAGAAUGGUGAAUGAAUCCGACUUUGAAAAAUUAGAGUAUUUAGACAUGGUCAUAAAAGAAGGUUUUAGGCUUCACCCCAUUGCACCACUAUUGAUUCCUCAUGAAUCCAUUGAAGAUUGCACAAUUGAUGGCUUUGAUAUACCUAAAGGUUCAAGACUGUUAGUAAAUACUUGGGCUAUUGGAAGAGAUCCAAAAGUUUGGCCAGAACCUGAGAAAUUCAUGCCAGAAAGGUUUAUUGAUAGCUACAUUGAUCUUCGUGGACAUAAUUUUCAACUUUUACCGUUUGGAUCCGGCAGAAGAAGUUGUCCUGGAUUACAAUUAGGCCUCACAACCGUUCGCCUGGUGCUAGCACAAUUGGUUCAUUGUUUUGAUUGGAAGCUACCAAAUGGUAUGAUGCCAAAUGAUUUAGACAUGACUGAGAAAUUUGGUUUAGUUAUGACUAGAGCUCAACAUCUAAUGGCUAUUCCCACUUAUCGGUUGGAUAUAUAGUAAAUAUUACAAAUGUCAAAUGGGAGAGUUGAUCUAAGUCGAAUUAAGUUAGAUCAACCUAAAAAUUAGGGGCCUGAGUGGAUUGGAUUAAGAUGGGCAUAUUUGGAUAAUAGAGGACCUGUCGUUGUGUCUUGUGUGCGCUCAAGUGUGUGAAUGUUCUUCAAUGUCGUUGUUGUGUCUUGAUGUUUUUUCUUUUUUACUAUUUCAUUUUUAUGAUGAAGGAGUUUAGACGACUCCAACCUGAAUAUUUAUUAAAGAAUUGAUGUUAAUUGAUUUCAGUGUAGAAUGAAUGUUCUUCA
Solanum dulcamara is the source of this 1852-nucleotide RNA transcript. It is a transcript of the gene named cytochrome P450 71AU50-like, with no coding region annotated. Lineage: Eukaryota; Viridiplantae; Streptophyta; Magnoliopsida; Solanales; Solanaceae. The transcript has 2 exons. The record is from RefSeq and is a predicted model, not a curated record.